RNAcentral lists this microRNA precursor (195 nucleotides) under Oryza glumipatula. Its description in RNAcentral is "MIR812 microRNA precursor family". It matches the Rfam family "MIR812 microRNA precursor family". Lineage: Eukaryota; Viridiplantae; Streptophyta; Magnoliopsida; Poales; Poaceae. The record is from Rfam by way of RNAcentral.
UUUAAGUAUAAUUGUGCGUUUCUCCGUUUCUGUGUUUGAUUCAUCUUAUUUGAAAUUUUUUAUGAUUAAUAUUUUUAUUGUUAUUAUAUGAUAAAAUAUGAAUAGUACUUUAUGUGUGACUUUUUUUUAAAUUUUUCACAUAUUUUCCAGACGGACGGUUAAACGUUGGACACGAAAUCCACCACCACACUUAAA